AGCAAGAAUCUGUCUCAAAAAAAAGAAAAAAGAAGAAAAAGAAGAAGAGAAGAGAAACAUUCUGUUUUAGUCAAAUGGCCUAGAUUUAUUUGACCAGCAUGUGCAUGCAAGCGUGUUGUAGGGAAAAACUGAGCCUUCUUACGAAAAACCUUCUGUUGUAAUCCCUAGGUCUUUAAUGACCCCUCUCAUGGAGGCCCUGAAGCUGAUGUGUAAGGGCAGAUUAAAGAUGGAGAAGGGUACAAAGCAUCUCAAGUUUUGUUCAACUACUUGCUUUCAUUUAUCACACUUGCAGGUUUUAUGACUAGUUAAACAUCUUUUCAUUUGUACUUGAUGGUUAAUUUUUUUCUAAAUCAAUCUUCCGUGAGAAGACGGAGGGAAAGACUGGUUAGGUUUUUCUUUAUGCUCAAACUUUACACCUUGGAAAUAUUUAUGGUUCACUCUUGGUUCUUCUUAUCCAAGGGAAGUAGCCUUGCUAAUUGAAUGAAGCUUAGACAUCCUCAAAACCUGUCCUCUCACAGUCUGAGUGAGGAAAUAGGCCUGGAAAGGUCAAGAACUCCUCCAACAUGGCAGAGGCAGGUUUAGCACCCAGGUGUCCUGGGAUCUCUCCCUAGCCCGUCACUUUGACUUUUGGUCUUUCACCACUUGAUCUGGUCAUGUUGCAGAACUUUUAGGUCUGUCUUGGAGUUAUUGCUGUCUAAAUUGUCAUCAACAAGUCUUUAUAAUCUGCCAGUAUUUAUUUACAUCCUCUCAGGGGUGAUAAAGAUUUAUGUGAUGGAUAUUUGUUAUUUGAGGAGGGAUUUCACUUUUAAAAAUAAACAAAAUAAUUUAGAGGUAAUUUGUGAGCAAUACAGGUAACUCUGUUUUUCAUUUUUUCCAUUAAAUGCCGAGAAAUAGCUUUAAAACAAUAAAGUCAGUGCUGGUGGUGGCUUAAAAACAACCUCUAAAGUUCCUUUUAGAAAAGGAGUUCCAGUAAGUUUAAACUGAUUUCUUACUUAUUUUAAUAUGUGAAAAAGUCAUAUAGCUUUAUAGAUUUUAUAAUGUCUUCACAGCAUGAUGAUUUGCUACCAAGUAUAAUCUAAAUUUCCACAGGACGGUUAGACUUAAUUGAGGUAUUAUCAUUCUACAAAGCCAAACUUCUGAAUAUCAGAAUGUUCUCGUUGCGUCUACAAUAAGCAUAAGAAUUUAGAGAAUUCUGCAUUUGAAUUUAGGGUUUUUCUUAUGAUUGGCCUAAGUGUAAAUAUUUCAUAUAGCUUUCAAAAAAGUACCAAUUCCAGAAUAUUUUUUUCCUUUCAAAUUUGUGUUUGGUCUAGUGGGAAGCAUAUAUGUUAAGAAACAGAAUCAUAGAUCUUUUUUAGGCAAUAGAAAAAUUAUUUAUAUGGAUUUAUAUUUGUGUAUGUUCCUAUUGUAAAAAAAUUGUCUUAAUUCAUUCUUACUGGCAUAGCAAAACUAGAUAAUCCCACUUUGCCAGUUACUGUAACCUGUUACUUCUUUUACUUUAUGGAUCAAGUAGGGAAAAAAGUUUUUGACAGUAGCUGAACUUAUUUCUGUUUCUGGAACACAGUUCUACAAAAGACCAACUUUUAAAGUAAAAAUGAAUAAAAAAUAAGAAACAAUGUAUGUUUCUCUUGCUAAUUCAACCUAGAAGCAGAUGGAGAGGCCAUGGAGGUAAGUCCUGUGCUUCUAUAGGCCUGAUUCUUGUUUCUAAUAUUUGAUCUAACUGUAUCAGUUUAUGUCUCCUGGGAAACAGACACCAAAAUAUAAUUAGAAGAGCAAGAAAUUUAUCAAGAGUAAUUUCAGUGAAAGAUAAAGAGGAAAAGGAAGCAGGAAUAGACAAAGAAAGACUCAGACUACUGUGAUAUAAGUCUGACCCCUGUAGAAAAGGAGAAUAGGGUAGAAGGAUUCGGCAGGCCUAGCCUCAAAGGGCAUUAAGUAUACCACUGACAAAACCUCAGCCAACCAAAAGAGAGCUCUGGUGCAAAGAGUGACAGAGGAGGAACUCUGCAUAAGGGGCAGAUGGCCAGGCCCUGGUACACCAUACCCAGGCAUAUCUAGUCUCCUGAGGGCACUAGAGCAGGAGGCUCUCAACUGACUGCACUCCUCCAGGUGAAUAGCAGUGUAUUCAUAUUCCUUUUAUAUGAGGAGUGCAUCCUGACUGCCCCAUUAGUAGUGAGAGAUAUUACAUUUUCCUUGGAAGGGCACCUUCCAAGAAACUGUGGGGAUACUUGCAAACUGUGGGGAUACCUUGGGCAUAUUGAAUAGUAUCACGGUAAAGUUGGACUCCUGAAGUCAACUCAUUCACAGGAGUCAUAUCAGUAUCCUGCAUGCCAUUGUUUUCUACUAAAAAGUCCCAAACUGGCAGUUCUAUGUUUUAAGCAAGAUGAUGAGGUGCAUUUCUAACAAAUUCUUAUUGCUAAACUGAGGGAAAUAUGGCAACACUGUCAAAAGUAAUAUGUACUCAUUAUCUUUUGAAUAAUUGGAGCAAAGCUGAGAUUGUUAACAAUACAUAAUUGGUUGACGUGCUACCAGGGACAUUUCAUGCCCUUGUGCAGUUCUGUGAAAUCAGUUUGGAUUGUGGUCUUCUAGUCCCUGGUCUCUCUCUCUCUCUUUCGUUACUCCAGCAAUCCAUCCUCAGUUGAUAAACAGUUAAUUUUAAAUCACAGAGGUCAUUUAUAGCUAGUGUAUUAGAUUGUGAAGAAUUGGCUUUUGCAAUUAUGGAGGCUGAAAAGUCCUAUAAUCUGCAAGCUGGAGACCCAGUAAAGCCAGUGGUGUAAUUAUAGUCCAAUUCUGAAUGCCUGACAACCAGGGGAGUGGAAGAUGUAAAUCUCAGUUCAAGCACAGAAGACUGAUGUCUCAGCUCAGGCAAGCAGGCAAGAAGCAAAAGGGAAAAAUUCCUCUUUCCUCCACUUUUUUCCUUCUAUUUAGGCCUUCAACAGGUUAGAUGAUGCCAGCCUAUACCAGUGAGAAUCAUCUACUUUAUGGAGUCCACUGAUUGAAAUGCUAACCUCAUGUGGAAAUACCUGCAUGGACGCAGCCAGAAUUAAUGUUUACGCCGAGCGCACCAUGGCACAGUAGAGUUGACACAUGCAAUUAACCAUCACACCUAGGAACACAGGAGCAAUCAAUUUUGUUAAGGGGAUUCAGGGGAGCAAGAAAGGAAAGAUGACAUUUUGAGAAGGAAGGAGACAUUUGCAAGGCUAUAGGGGAGGGGCAUUUCAGGCAGAGAAAACCAGACAGAGAAAGAGAGAGAGGAAGAGAGAGAGAGAGAGAGAGAGAGAGAGAGAGUCUGUGUCUCUGUGUGUUAUGUGUGUGUUUAUGUUGUGUGUGUUUUGCCUGGCAGGGAAGAGGGAAGGGGAAGAGUGGGUGGAAUGAAAUCAUAGAGAGUGGCUAGAAGAGCUUUAUUUUGGUUCUCAUAGGUUUUAAUUAGUGUCUCACAGAAGCUUUUUUGUGUUGCCCUUUGUUAUGACAAGUGAAAACUUCUCCAUCAUAGAUCUGCUCUGCUCAAUACAGUGACUUUUAACCACUUGUGACUUUUUUAUUUAAAUUGUUAACUAAAAUUAAACUAAAUUAAAAUUUUCAUUUCUCAGUUAUGUUAUUUACAUUUCAAGGGUUCAAUGUCCAUGUAUGUCUACUGGCUAUUGGAUGUUACAGAUAUAAAACAUUUAGAUCAUCACAGAACAUUCUAUCAGACAGCACUAAAAGGACAAUCCACAACUCAGCAUUUUGCAAUAUCAUUUCUACCCUAAAACAGAGACAAAGAACUUAAUGACAAUAUUGGGCUAUACCCAAUAUUCUCCCUGCAUGCAUAUAUGAGCACUGCUGCAAAGAUAGUUCAGAAAUUUGCUUUGCAUCUUCUGAAAAAAUUGAACUCCUACAUGCACAGAGCUGUGAUAAUCCUUGGCUUUCAUUUUUAAACAAAUUUAAAGGCUAAUUGAGAGAGAUUAGUAUAAGAGGGGGACUCUGGAAUAACACUGCUGGGCUCAAAUUUGGUUCUGCCAUUUACAAGAUGAGAGACUUUGGAGAAUGCCUAGGUUACCCCACCUAUAAAAUGAAUAUAGAAACAGAACUUUCCCAUAGACUAAUUAUAGUAGAUCAUAUUAGUAAAUAUUUGUCAAGAAUUACAACAGUGCCUGGUGUAUAAUAUAUGUUUUUAGCAUUAACUAAUAUUAUUACUAAUCAGCUCUUUUUUCUUAAGUAGACACUGAAUCACCUGGUCUCUCAGCUGGAUUUAUGAAUCUGAUUAUAUUUUAUUAUGGCAAGUAUUCAAUAUCCAUUUAUUAUUGUUGUUGCUAUUAUUAUCUUUCAAAUGGCAGUGUUGCUAGAAGGCAAUUAGCAGUAUUCUCACAAGGCCCUACUUCCUAAUACCAUCACUGUGAGAAUGAGCAUUCUAACGUAUAGAUUUGAGGAGCACAUAAACAUUCAUACCAUGGCAAUAUGUUAAAUAGAAAAUGUGUCUAAAAAUCUAGAAAGGGAUAAGAUUUCCAUAAACAAGUUUUCUUUUGUUAUUUCUUUUGCUUCAAAAUUGUGUGACAGUGACUUCUGCUUUCUGGCAAAAUGAAAAAACAAGAAUAGAUUUAUCAUUUGAAACAAAUUUAAAAAUCCAGCAAAAUAUAGGAAACAAUGGUUUUCUGGAGAGUGGCUAUCUGGCAGUAUAGGAGAAUGAUACCACAGAGACAGGAAACAAACAAGACGAACACUGUGGUUGCCCCAGAUUACUUCCGUAAGAGCAUUUUCAGGUCAUGUCACAGGGAUGGAGAUCACUGGUAGAUUUCAGCAGAUUCCCUAGGUUGAGAACAGGGAACUAAGGAUCCAAGGAAGCCAAAGUAGCUAGAGUUCACAAGAAGAGUAUUUACAAAAAGAGAGCUGCACCAAAAAAUAAUCCAGGAAAUAGGCAGCAAACAGCCCCUGAGCAUGAAACAGAGUACCAGUCAGUGCUCACAUGUGAGAAAACUACCUGAGGCUAGGAAAAACAUCGCCUGAAUGAAUCAGAAAGAACAGUGCCUGACAUUCACAAAGGCUGAAAAUAGUUCACAUUUUCACCAAAGUAGAACUUUUCAUAAUUCAUGGGGCACUGUGUAGAGUACUCAAGAAGGUCUUGCCUCAGUAGUGGGAAAUAAUUAUACCUUUACCUAGCACUGCUUCUGGUAUGCCUACCAAAUCACAAAAGCGAGGUCCCCCAAAAUCAAACAUUUUUGCAUAAUUUAGCUGCAUCUCAGAACAAUGUUCAAUUAUGUUUGUAGGAAUAUAAAAAUGCCCAGCACACACCCACUUCUGGAUAUAUAUCUAAAGUAAAUAAAGUCAGUAUUUUAAAGAGAUAUCCACCAUCCCGUAUUUGUUGCAGCAUUAUUCACAGUAGCCAAGAUAUGGAAACAGCCUGUGUCCAUUGACAAAUGAAUGGACAAGGAAAACAUUAGAUAGAUGGAUAGACAGACAGAGAUAGAUAGAUAUACCCCCCACACACACAUAUAUGUAUAGAUGUAGAUAUAGAUACACAAAUAUAAACACACCAGGAUAUUAUUCAGCCCAUAAAAAGGAGGAAUUUCUCCCAUCAGUGAUAAUAUGGACGGACCUGGAAGACAGUAUGCUAAGUGAAAUAACCCAGACACAGAAGACAAACACUGCAUGAUCUCACUUACAUAUAAAAUCUAAAAUAGUCGAACUAAUAGAAGCAGAGAGUAGAAUAGCAGUUGUCAGGGACCGCGGGUGGGAGAAUGGGGUGAUGUUGGUCAAAGGUUGCAAAGUUUCAUUCAUGUAGGAUGAGUAGAUUUUGGAGAUCUACUGUACAAAAUGGAGCCUUCAUACAUUACAUUAUUCAUUGUAAUGAAUAACAAUACUGUAUUGUGUAUUUUAAAAUUUGCUAAGAUGGUAGCACUUAUGUUAAAUGCUCUUAUGAAAAAAGAAAAAAAAAUAACAAAAAUGGAGGAGGAAGAAACCUUUGGAAGUGUUGGAUUAGUUUAUGGCAUUGAUUGUGCUAACAGUUUCAUGGGUGUAUACUUUUCCCCAAGCAUCGCAAAUUUACAUAAUGACAAAUAUUUUGUCUUGUUUUUAUAUUUACAGCAUUUUACACAGAGCUUGCCAGUUAUACGGUAGAUGUUGAACAAUUUCUUUGUGUUUCAGCUGUCAAAUUCUGUUCUGACUAUAUGAGGUACUGCAUUUCUCUUUGAAACAGUCUGUGAAGUAGUUUCCUGUGUAAGACUAAUAAAGAGGUACAACCCUUAUUUUCCAUUUUUUAAAUCAAAUUCUCAUGAAUAUCUUAGAAAACCCUCUCACAUGGAAGGUAUAAGAUUACUUCUUUUUUCUGGAUGUUAGUACUAGGUAGGUACAAUAUAUUAUUAGUCUUUGUAUUCCCAAUGAGUGAUACAUAGUAUGUGCUCAGUUUAUUUUAGUUGAAAGAUUAAAUGAAUGAUUAAAAGCAAAUUGUGUAGUGUUCAAUUUCACUGGACUGGAGUUUGAAUCUAAAGAUAUCAUGUAUUGAGCAAUUACGUAUGAGACCCUGUGUUAGAGCUGAGGAUACAAAGGUGAAUACAGGAAUCUCUAUCCAGCCUGAAAGACGCAGAUGCAAACAGAUCAAUUAUGUAUCACAUUGUAAAUUCUUUACCCAAAGUAUGAAUGAAGAUCUGUGGAAUUACUAGUAAAGGAGACUAGAUGAUACUUGUGUUGAGACUUGAAAAUGAGAGAAUUGAUUGCCAAUGAAUUUAUUUAAACUAAUCAAGGACAAAAAAAAUCUUUAUAAUAACAUGUUGAACUUAAUUAAGCCUGCCUGUACAAAAGUAGACAUAAAUAAGAUUAAGGUUUUCAAAAGAAUGGAUGGAUAAAUGCAGAUAUAUUGCAACAUAUUUCUUUCCUGAAUUUAAUUUGUGUAGCUCCUUCAACAAACAACUUUUUAAAGCAAUCUGGAUGAAAUUGGCAGUGGUAAGCUGUCAUUUUGCAAUAGCCCAUCUCAUUAAAGAAGACAAAAAGGAAGGAGAGCAUUCUAAGUAUAGAGAACAGCUUAUGCAAAGGUGCAGAGGUGUUGAAGUUAAUGUGACAGUGAGCUUCAUGUGAGCAGAGUUUUUAGGGGAGAAUAUCUGAGAUGGACUGGGCUAGUUAGUAAAGGACAAUUUUUUCCCUCUUAAGGAGUUCAGGACAUUGUCAAUGUCAAAGAGGGGCCAGUAAAGGUUUGUAAUUAGGGAAGCGACACGAUCAAAGUGUUUUCAGGAAGGUAACUUUCACAAGCAGCAUCUUGGUGGCUGCUUCCUGCUGUCCUUAGUAAUUCAUUAAGGAGCUGGCUAUCAGAAACCAAGACUGAGACUCGGUAGGAUACAAGGCACUGAAUAAUUAUGGAUUAUUUAUAGUGUAUUACUAGAAAAUUGUUGCUAAAUAGAUUUUGUUAAGAUCUCUUGCGAUAUGUGCAUAUCUAUUAUUUAUCCACAUGAGUAAUUUGCAUCAUGCGAGUGUCUCACUUGUGCUGUGGUUCCCGCAAACCUGCAAGGCCAACACCAUCAUAUAUAAACCUACAUUCCUUUAUGUAAGUGCUUUAUUCUUUCACCUUGUUGACAGAUUACCUCCCCUCUCCCUGUAGCAUGACCCUAACUUAAGACAAAUCUCUUAGGUCUAUCAUCUAUAUUCUCACUUCCUCGUUUCUUUACUUACUCUUCAUGUUUUGCCUUUCCUUAAUUUAGACCCUAAUUUGGGUGUCUUAAUGUUUAUUCCUUAGAGACAUUUGUUAUUGAAUAAGCCCUGUUAUUUUUACUUGUGCCAAACAAACGUAAACUGAAAAAGAUCUAAAAAGAAAUCAAAAAUUUUUUAAAGUUAAAAAAAAAAAA
Molecule: long non-coding RNA, 7802 nt
Organism: Cebus imitator (Panamanian white-faced capuchin)
Lineage: Eukaryota; Metazoa; Chordata; Mammalia; Primates; Cebidae
Exons: 2
Source: RefSeq, a predicted model, not a curated record